Molecule: ribosomal RNA, 497 nt
Filed under: uncultured bacterium
Lineage: Bacteria
Description: partial 16S ribosomal RNA
Rfam family: Bacterial small subunit ribosomal RNA
Source: RNAcentral
UACUAACUCUGGCGGCGUGCCUAAUACAUGCAAGUUGAGCGAUGAAGCUUGGUGCUUGCACCAAUUUGAAGAGCAGCGAGCGGGUGAGUAACGCGUGGGGAAUCUGCCUUUGAGCGGGGGACAACAUUUGGAAACGAAUGCUAAUACCGCAUAACAACUUUAAACAUAAGUUUUAAGUUUGAAAGAUGCAAUUGCAUCACUCAAAGAUGAUCCCGCGUUGUAUUAGCUAGUUGGUGAGGUAAAGGCUCACCAAGGCGAUGAUACAUAGCCGACCUGAGAGGGUGAUCGGCCACAUUGGGACUGAGACACGGCCCAAACGCCUACGGGAGGCAGCAGUAGGGAAUCUUCGGCAAUGGACGAAAGUCUGACCGAGCAACGCCGCGUGAGUGAAGAAGGGUUUCGGAUCGUAAAACUCUGUUGGUAGAGAAGAACGUUGGUGAGAGUGGAAAGCUCAUCAAGUGACGGUAACUACCCAGAAAGGGACGGCUAACUACGUG